Molecule: unclassified non-coding RNA, 294 nt
Filed under: Farysia acheniorum
Lineage: Eukaryota; Fungi; Basidiomycota; Ustilaginomycetes; Ustilaginales; Ustilaginaceae
Description: partial internal transcribed spacer region
Rfam family: Eukaryotic small subunit ribosomal RNA (bases 1-46)
Source: RNAcentral
AAGUCGUAACAAGGUAUCUGUAGGUGAACCUGCAGAUGGAUCAUCAAUGAUUCUUUAACCUGGGAAGCAGGAGGCUUGCCUCUCUUUCCGCAAGGUGUGGCUCCGCACCUUUUAAAUCUAAACUUGGGCUACCAUUUUACACACGGUUGCAUCUGCUGGGCUGUCUUCGGGCGCUCAGCAAUACACACACACACACGCUGAUCUAUAGGAUUUGUAUGGUUUUAUGAUAACGACUGGUAAUGCGGUCGUAUAACAUUAAUAAACAACUUUUGGCAACGGAUCUCUUGGUUCUCC